Long non-coding RNA from Syngnathoides biaculeatus (alligator pipefish), 2862 nucleotides. RefSeq lists it as uncharacterized. NCBI's taxonomy places the organism in Eukaryota, Metazoa, Chordata, Actinopteri, Syngnathiformes, Syngnathidae. The transcript is spliced from 3 exons. The record is from RefSeq and is a predicted model, not a curated record.
CCCAGACUGUGUUUCUAACUAAAGCACCGGUAGUGGGCGGUGUUUGUAAUGAUGAGUGUACCCCUUUAAGAGCCAGAGGUGGGCGGUGUCAGGUAAACAAGGAAGUAGCGUGUGUGGCAAGGUGUGGCCGAGCAGCAGCUUGUGAGAGACCGUGUGCUGCUGUGUUUAAAAAAAAAAAAAAAAAAAAAAAAGUCAGGCUGUGGUUCACUUUGCUGGAUCGGUUUUCAUGUGUGCUGAGUGGGCGCUACAAGUGCUCAAUUGCGCAGCUUAGAGGGAACAUUGCACGUGAGUACUCGCGGUGGCUUGCUAGCUACUGCCACCCAACCGCAAAUCGCACUUGGUCACUAAAUUCCAAGCUGUGGUAUCUGCCCAAGUACUCGUGCUGAACUGAGUGAUCAACAGCACCACCACUACUGCUAACAGCCUCCGGCACUGACCGAGAACUUUUCAUAGUUUUUGUUCAAAAUCUGAACAAAUACUCCUGAGGGAUUGAGUUCACCUGUCACAUCAUGAAUGGAGCCCAGAGAUGGAGGACAGUGCAUGAAGACUGUCAGCAUCACUCACAAACCGUGACUAAGAGCCACGUACUGGAUGUUGCUGCCAACAAUGUGGACCCUUGCGGAGACCUCGUCCAGAAGUGGAACACUACCAAGCAUGUCUGUUGGAUUUGGGAAAACACCUUCAUCAAAAAUGUGCUUUUCCUUCCCAAGUUAUUGUACUGCGGUGAUGCAUUUUGGGGCCAAGAUGUUCAGCAAAGGAAAGAGGAGCGAGAGAAGGCCAUCUACAUGAAGCCGAAAAGACCAUCUCUAAACUCAAGAAGUGGAGUGCAACACCACCUAUCAUACAAGACUUGGACCAGCUAACGAGAAAUAUGACAACUAUUUUUGUACAAGUUGACAAAUGUUCAAUUUGUUCUUGCGAAAAUGAAGAAACAUUCAGAUAAAAACAUUUCGUUUAUCCCCCUUCACUUAAAUCCUGUUUAGGUAAAUGAUGAUCAUCCAUUUCAUUCCUCUCUGGUCAUAUUUGCCAUGAUUUUCACCUACUUGAACUUUUGCCUGCUAACACAUCACCAGAUUGGGCAUUGAUCACACAAAAAUGUGGUUGCAUUAUACUGUCCUUGUCACAGAAUUUUUAAAAAGUCCCACAUAGGACACUACUCAUAACUAAUAGAGAAACACUGCAAUCUGCAUCUGAAUCUGCAAUCAAUAUGUUAGUAAAGUAGGUUAAUGUAAAGCUCAUCGGUUUGUGCUUCACCUACGUCUCGUGGGUCCCACGGGUGGCGUUAUGAUCGACAGAGUGAAAUUUUCAAAUUAGACGAUAGGGUGCUCACCUUACAUUUCAUGAUGAAAUUCGAUCACACUUUUGCCAUGUCUUUUUUUCUCGCUCUCUUUUCAACUUAGCUUCGCAUUUUGUAAUCGCUGUCAGUCAAACGCUCUACCUCUGCAUACUGCAAUAAUGACGUAAGCGUGUUGUGUAUAUGCACCAUUGCUGUCUUCCGUCAUUGGUGUCUCCUAUCUUUGCGACCGUCCACACACUAAACCUGGUGUGCAGUUUUGCUUUUAAAUUUUGACAAGGAAAGUGCGAUGCGAGACCGUUUAAUUCAAGCAUUGCACACGUACGGUAGGCAAUGUUGUGUGUCAGAGGACACACAUUCUUCAAGCUUUUUGCUUCCCUCAUCAUUUUUGCACGUCAAGGACGCAGGAUGCACAUUGAACCAAAUCUUUGUGCACUCUUUAACUUAUCACAUAAACGUAAUUUAAGAAUGAUAAAAUGUCACAGUAAAACGUUGCGUCGACACUUCACAAAGAAGACUCAGGAACCAAGGAAUUCCAUUUCCAUUCUUUACAAUAGAAUUUUUUUCCUCCAACAGAAACUAAAAAAAAAAAAACAAGUGCAAGUUUGGAUAAUUAUCAUCUCGUCUUUGCCUUGCGGAAUACACACACAUACAUGUAAAAGCACAAUCAUACGCAAACUUGCUCACAAUGACACACGUACACGCACACACACACACAGACAUACACGGGCAGAGAGGGCAGAAAUUGCUGACAUGGACACUCAGGAAUUUCAUGCCAACAGGAGGAAUCUGCUGAUGCGACUGAGACUUGUCUGAGGCGCAAAUCUCAAAAAUGAAGUCAAGUCACUUUUCACUUGCACCGUCCAGUUGAUUUAAUAUCUCAGGACUUUGUCAACUGUUCCAUGUCGUUCUCAGCCAGAUGUCAAGGAGAAAAAGGUCGUGUGUGUGUGUGUGUGUGUGUGUGUGUGUGUGUGUGUGUGUGUGUGUGUGUGAAUGAGAGACUACAAACCUUGACCCCUUCAGUUGAGCUUGUGCUAUCAGCGUCAAAUGCCGUCAGCAAGAUUGAUUGCUUAGUCUUGGCAUCACUUCACCAACAUAAUUCAUUACCGUGAAAGUCCCUGUUUUGAUCUGUGAACACUGAGUAGCGCCCCCUGCUGCUACAGUCUUUUCUCCAUUACAGAUUGUCCCGAUUGUUACAGAAGUAUUUUGCUAGUACUUGGCCCACUCUUACAAGCCAAGCCAAUCAAAAUACUUAAAAAUGGCCCUGUGUAUCUAACCCAAAAAAAUAAAAAUAAAAUAAUACAGUUGCAUUUUUAGUUUAGUUUGCUACAUUUGCCAGCAUGACUAAUUCUGAAGGAAUCCAUGCAGAUUAGAGACAGAUCAACAGACAGACAAGUAGUUAGGUAGGUGAUGUAGGUUGGUAGUUAGGUAGAUUGGGUGGAUGGGGUUUUUGGUUUGUCGGUCUGUGGGUCGGUCAAUCAGUAGGUCGGUCAAUACUAUAUCCAUCCACAAGGGAAAUUCACUGUUUAAGUAGUCUUUACAUUGAAAACAAUACAAAGUAAAACAGA